UUCAUUGAUUAGUUUAUUGGGAAGACAUUAGGAAAUAUGUCCCAAAACUGUAGAUACCCAACUCCGAAAGUUUUGAGCCAUUAUCUAGGAUAUGAUGGUUUGGUCUGAGAGAGGUGAAAGAAACCUCUGUGUUGGUUCACAGACCUCCUGUGAACCUGCAUAUAUAUACUUCCUGUAGCAGAUUUUCUAGGGUCUAAUGUUGUGCUGUAUCCUCACCAUGGGGAUUUUAAUAACUUUGGCAGUAGAUUGAUUUUGAGUAAGUAGAAUUCAGAUUAUGAAAUCUGUUCUCUCUCUAACAAACACCUGUUCUUGCAGACAGGUUCAUUGAGACUAGUGGAAUGACUUGAGAGAGUGCUGACUAAUUUCAGUGAGACCUUCAGUCUUGAUCCACUUUGGGAAGCUGGAUUUAAUUGUGUGUGAAAAGGAAUGGAGCCAAAACAGAGUAUGGAGGGAAGAAAUCUCAGUGGUUUUUGUGGAUAUGCCUUCAUAGUAGAUGAAGAUUUAGGGCCAAUAUUGGCAAGCCCCAUAGCAGGAGGAGGAAGGAAGAAGGAACAGACCUGACAUGAGCUACUGAGCUGGAAGCUAUGCUAGACCAGACACUAAGGAUCUGCUGGUGAUGAAUCUAUGUGUCUAAGAAGCAGCAGAGUCAAAGUCAUAGACUGGAAAGUGACCCACCACGUUGGAAUAGAGGACAUUUGUAUCAUCACAUGCCUCAACAGUAUGAGCUGGUCUGGGGAAGCAGUCAGCUCUGCCCUUCAAACUGCGAUUGCAUCCAUGUGUGCUGCACAGGUUUUUUGUUCACUGGGUGAUCUUGAACUGGCCUUGCUAAAAGCUUCCCUGACAUUUCCAAAGGAGAUAAAUCUACCUAAAACCCUGGGAAGCAGAAGUGCUCCUCUGUUUGAAGGCAGUGAAUGACCAGCAGUGAACUGCCAGUUGCCAUGUCAGAGCCCCUUGCCACUGCAGCCGCCAGCUUCUGAGCCCUGAUAACCUUCAUGUGAUGCUCUGCGGAGGAGGAUCGCACCGGUGAUGUGAUGAUGCAGGUACAGCUUUUCUGAGCAUCCUUUAUGGAGGACAGUAAUUCUCUUUCAUGGCUGCUUUUGUGGUGUCAACA
Molecule: long non-coding RNA, 1111 nt
Filed under: Anser brachyrhynchus (Pink-footed goose)
Lineage: Eukaryota; Metazoa; Chordata; Aves; Anseriformes; Anatidae
Description: lncRNA (ENSABRG00000013375.1)
Source: RNAcentral